GCGUAUGCAACUUGCCCUACUGAAAAGGAUAGCCCUUCGAAAGGAGGAUUAAUACUUUAUAAUAGAUAUCAUGGCAUCAUGAAUUUUUGAAAGAUUUAUCGCAGUAGGAUAGGCAUGCGUAAGAUUAGUUAGUUGGUGAGGUAACGGCUCACCAAGACGAUGAUCUUUAGGGGGCCUGAGAGGGUGAACCCCCACACUGGUACUGAGACACGGACCAGACUCCUACGGGAGGCAGCAGUGAGGAAUAUUGGACAAUGGGUGGAAGCCUGAUCCAGCCAUCCCGCGUGUAGGAUGACGGCCUUAUGGGUUGUAAACUACUUUUAUCUGGGGAUAAACCUACUUACGUGUAAGUAGCUGAAGGUACCAGAAGAAUAAGCACCGGCUAACUCCGUGCCAGCAGCCGCGGUAAUACGGAGGGUGCAAGCGUUAUCCGGAUUUAUUGGGUUUAAAGGGUCCGUAGGCGGAUUAAUCAGUCAGUGGUGAAAUCUCAUAGCUUAACUAUGAAACUGCCAUUGAUACUGUUAGUCUUGAGUGAUGUUGAAGUUGCUGGAAUGUGUAGUGUAGCGGUGAAAUGCUUAGAUAUUACGCAGAACACCAAUUGCGAAGGCAGGUGACUAAACAUCAACUGACGC
This 632-nucleotide ribosomal RNA is filed under the name Empedobacter falsenii. Its description in RNAcentral is "bacterial SSU rRNA". It matches the Rfam family "Bacterial small subunit ribosomal RNA", at positions 115 to 746 of the family's 1533-position model. Lineage: Bacteria; Pseudomonadati; Bacteroidota; Flavobacteriia; Flavobacteriales; Weeksellaceae. The record is from RNAcentral.